UGCGCGGAUCGCCUUGAGUUUGAUAUGGCUCAGAUUGAACGCUGGCGGCAUGCCUUACACAUGCAAGUCGAGCGGCAGCGCGGGGGCAACCCUGGCGGCGAGCGGCGUACGGGUGAGUAAUGCAUCGGAACGUGUCCUCUUGUGGGGGAUAACCAGCCGAAAGACUGGCUAAUACCGCAUGAGAUCGCAAGAUGAAAGCAGGGGACCCGCAAGGGCCUUGCGCGAGAGGAGCGGCCGAUGCCCGAUUAGCUAGUUGGCGGGGUAAAAGCCCACCAAGGCGACGAUCGGUAGCUGGUCUGAGAGGACGACCAGCCACACUGGGACUGAGACACGGCCCAGACUCCUACGGGAGGCAGCAGUGGGGAAUUUUGGACAAUGGGGGCAACCCUGAUCCAGCCAUGCCGCGUGUGUGAAGAAGGCCUUCGGGUUGUAAAGCACUUUCGGACGGAACGAAAUCGCACGAUCUAAUAAGUCGUGUGGAUGACGGUACCGUAAGAAGAAGCACCGGCUAACUACGUGCCAGCAGCCGCGGUAAUACGUAGGGUGCGAGCGUUAAUCGGAAUUACUGGGCGUAAAGUGUGCGCAGGCGGCCGCGCAAGUCGAGUGUGAAAGCCCCGGGCUUAACUUGGGAAUUGCGCUCGAAACUACGUGGCUGGAGUGUGGCAGAGGAAGGUGGAAUUCCACGUGUAGCGGUGAAAUGCGUAGAGAUGUGGAGGAACACCNAUGGCGAAGGCAGCCUUCUGGGCCNACACUGACGCUCAUGCACGAAA
Molecule: ribosomal RNA, 770 nt
Filed under: uncultured bacterium
Lineage: Bacteria
Description: bacterial SSU rRNA
Rfam family: Bacterial small subunit ribosomal RNA
Source: RNAcentral